RNAcentral lists this ribosomal RNA (424 nucleotides) under uncultured bacterium. RNAcentral's name for it is "partial 16S ribosomal RNA". It matches the Rfam family "Bacterial small subunit ribosomal RNA", at positions 360 to 776 of the family's 1533-position model. The record is from RNAcentral.
AAUAUUUGACAAUGGGCGAAAGCCUGCUCCAGCCAUGCCGCGUGUGUGAAGUAGGNCUNNGGUUUNUNAAGCACUUUAUGUUGNNNNNAAGGGCAGUAAAUUAAUACCUUGCUGUUUUGACGUUCCCGACAGAAUAAGCACCGGCUAACUUCGUGCCAUCCUCCGCGGUAAUACGAAGGGUGCAAGCGUUAAUCGGAAUUACUGGGCGUAAAGCGGGCGUAGGUGGUUCGUUAAGUUGGAUGUGAAAGCCCCGGGCUCAACCUGGGAACUGCAUCCAAAACUGGCGAGCUAGAGUACGGUAGAGGGUGGUGGAAUUUCCUGUGUAGCGGUGAAAUGCGUAGAUAUAGGAAGGAACACAAGUGGCGAAGGCGACAACCUGGACUGAUACUGACACUGAGGUGCGAAAGCGUGGGGAGCAAACAGG